UGGACUCCCUUGGAGGAGCCGGGGACAGGGCUGAGCAGACCCCCUUCUCUGGCUGCAGGAGAAGCGCCGUGCGGAGAGAGCGGAGCAGCAGAGGAUUCGUGCAGAGAAGGAGAGGGAGCGCCAGAACAGACUGGCGGAGGAAAAGGCCAGAAGGGAGGAGGAGGAUGCCAAGAGGAGGGCAGAGGACGACCUGAAGAAGAAGAAAGCUCUGUCUUCCAUGGGAGCCAACUACAGCAGCUACCUGGCCAAGGCUGACCAGAAGAGAGGCAAGAAGCAGACGGCCCGGGAAAUGAAGAAGAAGAUUCUGGCUGAGAGACGCAAGCCGCUCAACAUCGACCACCUCGGUGAAGACAAACUGAGGGACAAGGCCAAGGAGCUCUGGGAGACCCUGCACCAGCUGGAGAUCGACAAGUUCGAGUUUGGGGAGAAGCUGAAACGCCAGAAAUAUGAUGUGAGUCCCGGCACCUCCGGCCCUGGGGCCCUAGCGGCUUUCACUCACCAGCAGAGCAGCCACCUCCCUGCGUCCCUGCCAAACUCUGGACCUGCCCACCCCAGGGACCUGGACCCUGAGAGGCCCAAACAGGCUGUUGCCACGGACCCCUGGCUGAGGCUGCUUUCCUGCUGGGGACUGUGGCCAGAGCCCGUCCUCCUGGCUGGCCAUGCAGCACCCUGAGCGAUGAACCUGGCCCCUUUGGGCGGCCUUGGUUACCCCUGCCAAAAGGACUGUCGUGGCAGAGCAGCCAUGGCCAAGUGGACUCAGGGUUCAUUUUCGGAGCCCCUUUAAACUUAUAGAAAGUCCCCAUCAUCACCCAGCUCGGCCCUGGGGCACCGAGUCCGUCUGGUGUGGGGUGUCCUUUCCACAGAGACUCCUCCACAAACCCAGACUCUGGCUUCCACCAGGGCCCUGGACACCUGCUUCCUCAGGGCAGACAGAGAGGGGUGACACACUGCACCCUGUGGCUGGGAAAAGGGGCCUGGGACUGUGCCCGUCUGGGACGGAGCAGAGCCACCAUCCCAUGCAGGCACUAUCGCCGCAGGCAAAGCUGGGACUGGGGAAGGCAGCCUGCCCGGGCGGCCUCAGGGACUGGGGUACAAUGUGGGACCUAGGGUGGA
This 1113-nucleotide small RNA is filed under the name Pan troglodytes (chimpanzee). RNAcentral describes it as "retained intron". Lineage: Eukaryota; Metazoa; Chordata; Mammalia; Primates; Hominidae. The record is from RNAcentral.